This 72-nucleotide transfer RNA is filed under the name Methanomicrobiales archaeon. RNAcentral's name for it is "tRNA-Ala". It matches the Rfam family "tRNA". Rfam says of the family: Transfer RNA (tRNA) molecules are approximately 80 nucleotides in length. Their secondary structure includes four short double-helical elements and three loops (D, anti-codon, and T loops). The record is from RNAcentral. Lineage: Archaea; Methanobacteriati; Methanobacteriota; Methanomicrobia; Methanomicrobiales.
GGGCUGGUAGAUCAGCGGAAGAUCGCACCGUUCGCAACGGUGAGGCCGCGGGUUCAACCCCCGCCCAGUCCA